CCGUGGCAGGAGGAGCCAUUGACAUCGCCGGAGCCUCCACUCGCCCAGUCCCGCAAACUCAAAGGGAAAGGAAAAACCCCAAGAGGAAUUAUCUUUUGUAUCUGGUCCCCUCAGCAUAAUCUGUCCCCAAGGAAAACGCGUUUUUAUUCCCUAGCUUUUGUUGUGAAGACGGAAAAAGUACCCUUUCUCAAUUCGCUCGGCUCUCCUUUUGUUUACCAUUUUAUGUAUAUGGUAAAACUGGCAAUUUACCUGG
Molecule: long non-coding RNA, 253 nt
Organism: Neogale vison (American mink)
Lineage: Eukaryota; Metazoa; Chordata; Mammalia; Carnivora; Mustelidae
Exons: 2
Source: RefSeq, a predicted model, not a curated record